UGGGGAAUAUUGGACAAUGGGGGCAACCCUGAUCCAGCGAUGCCGCGUGGGUGAAGAAGGCCUUCGGGUUGUAAAGCCCUUUAGGUUGGGAAGAAGGUUGGUGGAGGAAAUGCCAUUAACUUGACGGUACCGACAGAAUAAGCACCGGCAAACUCUGUGCCAGCAGCCGCGGUAAUACAGAGGGUGCGAGCGUUAAUCGGAUUAACUGGGCGUAAAGGGCGCGUAGGCGGCUCGAUGAGUGUGAUGUGAAAGCCCCGGGCUUAACCUGGGAAGUGCAUUGCAAACGAUCGAGCUGGAGUAGAGGAGAGGGUGGCGGAAUUUCCGGUGUAGCGGUGAAAUGCGUAGAGAUCGGAAGGAACGUCAAUGGCGAAGGCAGCCACCUGGCCAAAUACUGACGCUGAGGCGCGAAAGCGUGGGUAGCGAACAG
RNAcentral lists this ribosomal RNA (427 nucleotides) under uncultured bacterium. Its description in RNAcentral is "bacterial SSU rRNA". It matches the Rfam family "Bacterial small subunit ribosomal RNA", at positions 355 to 775 of the family's 1533-position model. The record is from RNAcentral.